AACGCGAAGAACCUUACCAAGGCUUGACAUACACCGGAAAACUCUGGAGACAGGGUCCCCCUUGUGGUCGGUGUACAGGUGGUGCAUGGCUGUCGUCAGCUCGUGUCGUGAGAUGUUGGGUUAAGUCCCGCAACGAGCGCAACCCUUGUUCUGUGUUGCCAGCAUGCCCUUCGGGGUGAUGGGGACUCACAGGAGACUGCCGGGGUCAACUCGGAGGAAGGUGGGGACGACGUCAAGUCAUCAUGCCCCUUAUGUCUUGGGCUGCACACGUGCUACAAUGGCCGGUACAAUGAGCUGCGAUGCCGUGAGGCGGAGCGAAUCUCAAAAAGCCGGUCUCAGUUCGGAUUGGGGUCUGCAACUCGACCCCAUGAAGUCGGAGUUGCUAGUAAUCGCAGAUCAGCAUUGCUGCGGUGAAUACGUUCCCGGGCCUUGUACACACCG
Molecule: ribosomal RNA, 441 nt
Filed under: uncultured bacterium
Lineage: Bacteria
Description: bacterial SSU rRNA
Rfam family: Bacterial small subunit ribosomal RNA
Source: RNAcentral